UUAAAAAACAAACAGUCACUAUUUAUGAAGAGAAGUCAUUCAGUUAAUUUUCCGGGUUGUACAUUAUCUUUAUCAAACAUCUGUAUAGCCAAUCAUGAAUAUUUACAUACGGAAAUAUACACUACAGGAUUUUGAAGAUGAACCGUACACAUCUACGGAUUCUUUUUAUUGAAACGUUUGCUGAAAAAAAUAUAAUGACUACAAUUAAGUUCGAAAGUCUGGUUAAAUGGGAUCAAAUAUUGAAAACAUGCCACAAUAUCAUAUAUACCUACCAAUUGUCACUAUUUACGCGGAUAAUCCCAAUGGAGGCUCCCAAAUGUUAAUUUUGAAAGAUCCAUUUUCUCCACUAUUUUAAACAAAACAAUCAUUAUUUACAAUAAAAUAUAAAGAAGCCAAAAAACAACAAAAAACAACAAAAAAAAACCAACAAAAAACGACCACAUUAAAAUAUAUUUGAAGGUUUUGUAAGACUAUAAGAGUCAUCUUGCACGUAGACCUCCAUGGGCAUUUUGAAAGUUGGAAGGUAUGCAAUAUCAACAUACAACUUUAAAUUACGUGCAAUCAUUGUUUGAGUUUUCAAUUAUCUGUUGUUGGAAUGGAGAACAUAAAAAGGUGCUGUAUUUUGUACAUAUUGAUGGAGAAGACUAAUUUACAAAGUCUUGAAAAAAAAAACAGUUGACGAAAUUCCAGGGCGCACAGAUCACAUAUACGUGUCAAUUUUCUUCGAAGUUUAAGGGAUCUAGGUUGAAAACUGUAGGAGGAGUCGGUUACACAACAUAGGGAACCAAUUUUUCACCCUUUCACGAAAACAAUAUACCAUCAGAUGGCUAUUAGACUUUUAAAAUUCAUGCAGAAAAGGAGUAAUUUAUUCAGUGAAAUAGAAUUGUAGCCUGAUUAGUAUCAUUAAGGCAUGUACUGUAAAGAGAACAAUGUUUACUUUUUACCACCAUAUAAAGGCUGUAAGUAUGCGAUAUAUUUAUUUGAAAUUCAUCCUUAUUUCAAGAAAUUUACAGGGA
This 1016-nucleotide long non-coding RNA is filed under the name Mytilus galloprovincialis (Mediterranean mussel). Lineage: Eukaryota; Metazoa; Mollusca; Bivalvia; Mytilida; Mytilidae. The record is from RNAcentral.